GACGAACGCUGGCGGCGUGCUUAACACAUGCAAGUCGAACGGAAAGGCCCUGCAUUUGUGGGGUGCUCGAGUGGCGAACGGGUGAGUAACACGUGAGUAACCUGCCCUUGACUUUGGGAUAACUUCAGGAAACUGGGGCUAAUACCGGAUAGGAGCUCCUGCUGCAUGGUGGGGGUUGGAAAGUUUCGGCGGUUGGGGAUGGACUCGCGGCUUAUCAGCUUGUUGGUGGGGUAGUGGCUUACCAAGGCUUUGACGGGUAGCCGGCCUGAGAGGGUGACCGGCCACAUUGGGACUGAGAUACGGCCCAGACUCCUACGGGAGGCAGCAGUGGGGAAUAUUGCACAAUGGGCGGAAGCCUGAUGCAGCAACGCCGCGUGCGGGAUGACGGCCUUCGGGUUGUAAACCGCUUUCGCCUGUGACGAAGCGUGAGUUACGGUAAUGUGUAAAGAAGCACCGGCUAACUACGUG
RNAcentral lists this ribosomal RNA (468 nucleotides) under uncultured bacterium. RNAcentral describes it as "partial 16S ribosomal RNA". It matches the Rfam family "Bacterial small subunit ribosomal RNA", at positions 28 to 507 of the family's 1533-position model. The record is from RNAcentral.